This 76-nucleotide transfer RNA is filed under the name Candidatus Berkelbacteria bacterium. RNAcentral describes it as "tRNA-Ala". It matches the Rfam family "tRNA". Rfam says of the family: Transfer RNA (tRNA) molecules are approximately 80 nucleotides in length. Their secondary structure includes four short double-helical elements and three loops (D, anti-codon, and T loops). Further hydrogen bonds mediate the characteristic L-shaped molecular structure. tRNAs have two regions of fundamental functional importance: the anti-codon, which is responsible for specific mRNA codon recognition, and the 3' end, to which the tRNAs corresponding amino acid is attached (by aminoacyl-tRNA synthetases). tRNAs cope with the degeneracy of the genetic code in two manners: having more than one tRNA (with a specific anti-codon) for a particular amino acid; and 'wobble' base-pairing, i.e. permitting non-standard base-pairing at the 3rd anti-codon position. The record is from RNAcentral. Lineage: Bacteria; Candidatus Berkelbacteria.
GGGCCUAUAGCUCAGCUGGUAGAGUGUCGCAUUCGCAUUGCGAAGGUCGCCGGUUCGACUCCGGCUAGGUCCACCA